Molecule: ribosomal RNA, 500 nt
Filed under: uncultured bacterium
Lineage: Bacteria
Description: partial 16S ribosomal RNA
Rfam family: Bacterial small subunit ribosomal RNA
Source: RNAcentral
GACGAACGCUGGCGGCGUGCUUAACACAUGCAAGUCGAACGGGUCUGCCCUGUUUUUUGCGGGGUGGGUCAGUGGCGAACGGGUGAGUAACACGUGAGUAACCUGCCCCUCACUUCUGGAUAACCGCUUGAAAGGGUGGCUAAUACGGGGUGUUCUGGCUGUGCCGCAUGGUGUGGCUGGGAAAGAUUCACUUUUGUGGUGUUUUGGUGGGGGAUGGGCUCGCGGCCUAUCAGCUUGUUGGUGGGGUGAUGGCCUGCCAAGGCUUUGACGGGUAGCCGGCCUGGGAGGGUGGGCGGUCACACUGGGACUGAGAUACGGCCCAGACUCCUGCGGGAGGCAGCAGUGGGGGGUAUUGCACAAUGGGCGGAAGCCUGAUGCAGCGACGUCGCGUGAGGGAUGGAGGCCUUCGGGUUGUGAACCUCUUUCGCCGGUGAAGAAGGUCCUGCUCUUUGGGGUGGGGUUGACGGUAGCCGGGUUAUGAAGCGCCGGCUAACUACGUG